UGCCCAGAGACGGAAUCGAACCGCCGACACGGGGAUUUUCAAUCCCCUGCUCUACCGACUGAGCUAUCUGGGC
Molecule: transfer RNA, 73 nt
Filed under: Aeromonas media WS
Lineage: Bacteria; Pseudomonadati; Pseudomonadota; Gammaproteobacteria; Aeromonadales; Aeromonadaceae
Description: tRNA-Phe
Source: RNAcentral